This is a long non-coding RNA of Nerophis ophidion (straightnose pipefish), 1192 nucleotides long. RefSeq lists it as uncharacterized. The record is from RefSeq and is a predicted model, not a curated record. NCBI's taxonomy places the organism in Eukaryota, Metazoa, Chordata, Actinopteri, Syngnathiformes, Syngnathidae. The transcript is spliced from 3 exons.
UGGAUUGCACAAAAACAGACGAGUCAGCAGAACGCAGUCACACUUUGCGGCCUGUUGGCACAGUGACAGAACCUCCGCAUAAACAUUUCAUCAAACCGGAGGGGACGCCGUCUGCCAGCUCUUAAAUCUUUAAAUGUUGCUAUUUCUUACCAUAAGGGCAGGAAGCCGACGUUUCCCGUGGCGAUCCCCGCCGUGUCGCUGGCCUACUUCCUGUUGGCCCCCGACCGCGGUUCUCUCCCCCAGGCAUGGACGACGUCGAUGUCAGUGUGAUCAUCCUCGACGGUAGCAAACACAGACGCAGAUGCAGCAGAGCAGCAUGACAACCACAAACGUUGCACCUCCGGCUAUCAAAACGGCCGCAUCUGCUUGAUCUACAAGAAGAGUCCUCAAGUCAGCUCUUGGGCGCCCCCACACUGUUGGAGGACUCACAGCGAUACAUCCCCGAGUCCACUUUGGAAACACUUUUCAACUUCUGUUCCAGGACACAAGAAGAGGAACAGCUGUGUCUGCACUUGUGCUUUCUGCGUGAGGUCACAGCAGCGCACACGUGCGGGCAUCUGUUAGCACGUGUUAGUUAGCGCUCACCAGCGUUCCUUUGUGAGAGUCCAUGCUGUACGCCAUGUUGCUGGAGGACAUCAGGACCUUGUUGUCUUUGUACCAGCUGUACUUGGCGGGGGGGACACUCUGCUGGUCUUUGCACAGAAGCUCCAAGUCAGAGCCCACAAACACGGACUGGGGAACCUCGCAUGAAGGGAUGUGAGGAGGCACUGCUUGGCGGGAAGGACAUCGAUCUUACUAACGGCCAAAAGGAGCAGUGACACAAAGUGUGUCCCCGCUUCUUCCAUGCAAAUCCUAUUUUGUUUGUAUUGAACACACAGUGUCCAUCCAUUUUUCUACCGCUUAUUCCCUUUGGGGUUGCGGGGGGAGCUGGUGCCUAUCUUAGCUAUAAUCGGGCAGAAGGCGGUGUACACCCUGGACAAGUCGCCACCUCAUCGCAGGGCCAACACAGAUAGACAGACAACAUUCACACUCACAUUCACACACUAGGGCCAAUUAAGUGUUGCCAAUCAACCUAUCCCCAGGUGCAUGUUUUUGGAAGUGGAAGCCAGAGUACCCGGAGGGAAGCCAUGCAGUCACUUGGAGGACAUGCAAACUCCAUAUACAUAUUUAUAUAUAUAUAUAUAUAUAUAUA